This 495-nucleotide ribosomal RNA is filed under the name uncultured bacterium. RNAcentral describes it as "partial 16S ribosomal RNA". It matches the Rfam family "Bacterial small subunit ribosomal RNA", at positions 28 to 507 of the family's 1533-position model. The record is from RNAcentral.
GAUGAACGCUGGCGGCGUGCCUAAUACAUGCAAGUCGAACGCUGAAGGAGGAGCUUGCCCUUCUGGAUGAGUUGCGAACGGGUGAGUAACGCGUAGGUAACCUGCCCGGUAGCGGGGGAUAACUAUUGGAAACGAUAGCUAAUACUGCAUGACAACAGCCAUUGCAUGAUAAUUGUUUAAAAGGGGCAAUUGCCCCACUACCAGAUGGACCUGCGUUGUAUUGGCUAGUUGGUGAGGUAACGGCUCACCAAGGCGACGAUACAUAGCCGACCUGAGAGGGUGAUCCGACACCCUGGGACUGGGACACAGCCCAGGAUACUCCGAGAGGCAGCCAUAGAGAAAGGUAGGUAAUCGACGGACGUCUGACCGAGCUACGCCGCGUGCAUGAAGACGGUUUUCGGAUCGUAAAGCUCUGUUGUAAGAGGAGAAAGAGUGGGAGCGUAGAAGGUUCAGACUGUGACGGUAUCUUAUCAGAAACGCACGGCUAACUACGUG